Long non-coding RNA from Prosopis cineraria, 984 nucleotides. RefSeq lists it as uncharacterized. Lineage: Eukaryota; Viridiplantae; Streptophyta; Magnoliopsida; Fabales; Fabaceae. The transcript is spliced from 3 exons. The record is from RefSeq and is a predicted model, not a curated record.
UACAUUUGAAAAUAACCAUCCAACGGUCACAAAACCACUAGCCGUUGAGUUUUUUUAAAACUAUAAAACAUGACGCUCCUGGUCUCCACGGACAAAUAGCCACAGUCCUCAUAGUCUCAGUAGUAUUACAAUCUCUCAAUCCCCAGAGUGGCUACAGUCUUCUGGGUUUAUCAACAAAAAUUGGUGAUUCCUCUCAUGAGAACAACCCGAUCUCCGUCAAGCCCACAAGCUUGGAAGGAGAGCCAUAGAAACUCAGGGUAUCUCCUGAAUCUUUACCCCAUGUGUUAGAGUCAAAUCUCUCCGACCGUGAUCACCGAAGGCGGUUGAAGUGUCAUCGGCGGCUACUGGUUUUGUUUUUGGUAAAGCGCGACAUCUGGAUUUACUGCAGAAAGUUUGGGGAUCAGAGAACUGGAUCGAAUCGUGGUAGAAAUUUGUGGUGUCUACGUACUAUUCAGAACUGGAUCUUUGCCUUCUUUCACCAAGAUAAUUAGAUCAUCUUGCUAGAGGCCAUGAGUGACCAGCCAUACUACAAUCGACAGCUUCUGAAGAAUGUCUCCGGAUAAUUGGAUCGUGAUGGAAUAAUUUACAAUCUAGAGGCUAUGGGUGGACAGGAUCAGCCUAUAAAUACUGCAAUUGAGGAUCGAGUGGAUUGAGGUUGACUCUUAAGGUGUCAAUGUUAAAGUUCAAGUCUGUUGGUACUAUCGACUAGAGGAGUCUAUCAAUGGCCAUCACCAGUUCCACGAUUCUAAGGAGGUGUUCCUCUUUGGACUUUGAUCACUUUGAUUUUCAAAGUGUUGACACAAUUGAAAGCAAAUGUUUAUUUUUGAAGGUUGAUGCUAUUGGUGUAACCCUUAAAUUUAUAGUUUUAAGGUUUCCACGAAGCUUAAUGCUAUUGGUAUGGACAAUGUGUUGUUCAAGUGUAGGGAAGGGUGAACUUAACUUUGUGUUGCCUUGUUUGUCUUCAAAUUAUUGUGUUCUAGUGUC